This 3555-nucleotide ribosomal RNA is filed under the name Parcubacteria group bacterium CG10_big_fil_rev_8_21_14_0_10_36_14. RNAcentral's name for it is "bacterial LSU rRNA". It matches the Rfam family "Bacterial large subunit ribosomal RNA". The record is from RNAcentral.
AAGAGCAAUAAGGGUGUAUGGGGGAUGCCUCGACAUAAAAAGCCGAUGAAGGACGUGGUAGCCUGCGAUAAGCCUCGGGAAGGCGGCAAACAGCCUGUGAUCCGGGGAUGUCCGAAUGGGGAAACCCGAUCUAAUGGAAGAUUAGAUCACUCAUGCAUGAAUACAUAGUGCAUGGGAGGGCACCUGGGGAAGUGAAACAUCUUAGUACCCAGAGGAAAAGAAAACGAAGAACUAACACAGAUUUUUUAUGUCACCGAUAAUACAAUUUUUUGUGUAAUCAGUGAUGUAUCAAUCUGUGUUUACAUUCCCUAAGUAGCGGCGAGCGAAAAGGGAGAAGCCUAAACUUUAUAAACUGAAGUGAUUGCAAUUCUUUGCCUUUGGGCUUGGAUGAGCGGUUACGGAAGGCUGCGGGGCCAUAUGUUUGUAAAGAGUUGAAGGAUAGUAUUAUGGUUUUCCUGCAAGAGACCUAUAAAAUUUAAUGUUUAGCAGAAUCCUGUGGAAACAGGGACCAUAGAAGGUGAUAGUCCUGUAUGUGAAAAACAUGAAUGUUUUAUUAUAUUAUUCCUAAGUACUGCGAGACUCGAGAAAUCUCGUAGGAAUCUGGCCGGACUAUCGGCCAAGGCUAAAUACUUUUUAUGAUCGAUAGUGAACUAGUACCAUGAGGGAAAGGUGAAAAGCAGCCCGGGAGGGCGAUGAAAUAAAACCUGAAACCAUAUACCUACAAGAAGCUGGAGUCCCGCUUGCGGGAUGACAGUGUUCCUAUUGAAGAAUGAGCCAACGAGUUUGUGAGUGUUGCGAGCUUAAAUCCAUAAAGGAUGAAGGCGUAGUGAAAGCGAGCGUUAACGCGCGAUAUAAGUAGCACUUGCAAGACCCGAAACCGGGUGAGCUAUCCAUGGACAGGGUGAACCUUGAGUAAAAUCAAGGGGAGGCCCGAACCCACGCGCCGUGCAACACGCGGGGAUGAUCUGUGGAUAGAGGAGAAAUUCCAAUCGAACUCGGUGAUAGCUGGUUCUCCCCGAAAUAGCUUGAGGGCUAGCGUCGGAAGAACUGCUGCGGGGGUAGAGCACUGGAUGAGACUGGGGGGAGCAAUCCUACCCAUCACAACCAAACUCCGAAUACCGCAGUCAGAUACCGGCAGUCAGACCAUGGGGGCUAAGCUCCAUAGGUCUAAAGGGAAAAAGCCCAGACCGCAAUCUAAGGUCCCUAAAUUUAAGUUAAGUGUAAAAGGUGGUGAAACGACUUAUACAACCAGGAGGUUGGCUUAGAAGCAGCCAUCCUUUAAAGAAAGCGUAACAGCUCACUGGUCAAGUUAUUUUGCGCCGAUAAUGUACCGGGGCUAAACUUAGUACCGAAGAUGCGGACCUGAUCGUGCCUCAUUGCAUUUAGAAUAAAUUUAUUUCUAAGUGUAGCGAGGUGCGAUUGGGUGGUAGGGGAGCGUUCUGUAUGCGUUGAAGCUUACCGCGUGAGCGGGAGUGGAGCGUACAGAAGUGAGAAUGUUGGCAUGAGUAGCAAAAAUGGGGGCGAGAACCCCCCACACCGUAAGUCCAAGGUUUCCUGGGCAACGAAAAUCGACCCAGGGUUAGUCGAUCCUAAGGCGAGUCCAGCCCUUUUUGCAUAGCAAUAAGGGUAAUAAUGAAUAUUAUCUUACUGCUGCGCAGUAAGGGCUGGGGUAGUCGAUGGAUGAGCAGGUUAAUAUUCCUGCACUUCUGUUUGAUUUAAGCUAACGGACGCAUUACUGGAGUCUUUGUGCGAUUUUGGCUAUUCGCAUGGCUGGUCCGAUUUAUCGGGCUGGACGCAGCUUGAACCGCAAGGGGAAAGCAAUAGAGGUAAAAGUGGUGCCUAGAAAAGGUUAGUGUAUAUCUUAUAGAAAUCGUACCGCAAACCGACACAGGUGGACGGGCAUAAGUGUGCCAAGGUGUACGAGAGAAACAUCGUUAAGGAACUCGGCAAAACAGUGGCCGUAACUUCGGGAUAAGGCCUGCCUGACCGUGCCUCAAUGUAUUUGGCGCGGAAUUAUGAAGUUCCUAACAAUAAUUUUUAGUUAUGAAAAUGUUGAUUUUGUAAUUAAAAAUUUUAAAUUCGAAAUUCCGCAAGCCGAACGCAGUGAGGUGCGGUUAGGCUGCAACAAAAGAUUCCAAGCGACUGUUUACCAAAAACACAGGUCCCUGCUAAACCGUAAGGUGAUGUAUAGGGGCUGAUGCCUGGCCAGUGCCAGAACGUUAAGGAAGUGGGUCAUCUCGAUUUAUCGGGAGAAGCUCGUGACCGAAGCGCUGGUGAACGCCGGCCGUAACUAUAACGGUCCUAAGGUAGCGAAAUUCCUUGUCGGGUAAGUUCCGACCCGCACGAAUGGCAUAACGACUUGGAAACUGUCUUGACGAUGUACUCGGCGAAAUUUCAACACGAGUGAAGAUGCUCUUUACCCGCGGCUGGACGAAAAGACCCCGUGAAGCUUUACUACAACUUGACAUUGGGGUAGAGUUCCGCAUGUUCAGAAUAGGUGGGAGGUUCGACGCAAGUCGAACCGACAGUGAGAUACCACCCUUGCGUUAUUUUAUCUCUAACCCGAGACCUUGAAUCAGGUUUUGGGGACAGUGUCUGGCGGGUAGUUUAUCUGGGGCGGAUGCCUCCCAAAAAGUAACGGAGGCGUUUACAAAGGUUGGCUUGGCCCGGAUGGAAAUCGGGUUCUAAAGUGCAAACGCAUAAGCCAGCUUUACUGGAACUCCUACAAGAGGACUAGUUGCGAAAGCAGAAGUUAGUGAUCCGACCGUUCGUAAUAGGACGGCGGAAGCUCAUCGGACAAAAGCUACUCCGGGGAUAACAGGCUGAUCCUUCCCGAGCGUCCACAGCGACGGAAGGGUUUGGCACCUUAACUUAAAUCGGGGUGCUAUUCUGAGUAAUCAGAAUACCAAAAAAUGGCUAAUAACGGUGAACUCUUAAUAGAAGAUAUACGCAGUGGUAAUUUUAUGCGGAUAUCAUUUUAUUGAGACAAUACCGUGGGAAGUCCGAAAAUAUCGGACCCCGUAACGACUAAUUCUCUGAUUUAUCAGAGAUGAGAUAGUAGGUACUCGAUAAUCGAGAAAUAAACUAUUAUCAUACGCCAUCUCCUGUUAUAUGAAUAACAGGAUGAAGAUAUAGUCUAAUGUUACUAGUAAUAGUAAAUACGACAGCGAUGUCGGCUCGUCGCAUCCUGGGGCUGGAGAAGGUCCCAAGGGUUUGGCUGUUCGCCAAUUAAAGCGGCACGCGAGCUGGGUUCAGAACGUCGUGAGACAGUUCGGUCUCCUAUCCGCCGUGGGCGUCGAGAUUUGAGAGAACCCUUCUCUAGUACGAGAGGACCGAGAAGGACGAACCUCUAGUGUGGGAGUUGUUCUGCCAAGGGCACAGCUUCGUAGCUAAGUUCGGUACGGAUAAACGCUGAAAGCAUAUAAGCGUGAAGCCGUUCUCAAGAUUAGAUCUCAUUUUAGGUUCCAGAGAGACUAUCUGGUUGAUAGGCAGCAGGUGUAAGUGCAGUAAUGCAUGUAGCCGAGCUGUACUAAUAAACCGAGCUCUUUUUCCUAU